Molecule: ribosomal RNA, 1343 nt
Filed under: uncultured bacterium
Lineage: Bacteria
Description: 16S ribosomal RNA
Rfam family: Bacterial small subunit ribosomal RNA
Source: RNAcentral
GACGAACGCUGGCGGCGUGCUUAACACAUGCAAGUCGAACGGAAAGGCCCUGCUUUUGUGGGGUGCUCGAGUGGCGAACGGGUGAGUAACACGUGAGUAACCUGCCCUUGACUUUGGGAUAACUUCAGGAAACUGGGGCUAAUACCGGAUAGGAGCUCCUGCCGCAUGGUGGGGGUUGGAAAGUUUCGGCGGUUGGGGAUGGACUCGCGGCUUAUCAGCUUGUUGGUGGGGUAGUGGCUUACCAAGGCUUUGACGGGUAGCCGGCCUGAGAGGGUGACCGGCCACAUUGGGACUGAGAUACGGCCCAGACUCCUACGGGAGGCAGCAGUGGGGAAUAUUGCACAAUGGGCGGAAGCCUGAUGCAGCAACGCCGCGUGCGGGAUGACGGCCUUCGGGUUGUAAACCGCUUUCGCCUGUGACGAAGCGUGAGUGACGGUAAUGGGUAAAGAAGCACCGGCUAACUACGUGCCAGCAGCCGCGGUGAUACGUAGGGUGCGAGCGUUGUCCGGAUUUAUUGGGCGUAAAGGGCUCGUAGGUGGUUGAUCGCGUCGGAAGUGUAAUCUUGGGGCUUAACCCUGAGCGUGCUUUCGAUACGGGUUGACUUGAGGAAGGUAGGGGAGAAUGGAAUUCCUGGUGGAGCGGUGGAAUGCGCAGAUAUCAGGAGGAACACCAGUGGCGAAGGCGGUUCUCUGGGCCUUUCCUGACGCUGAGGAGCGAAAGCGUGGGGAGCGAACAGGCUUAGAUACCCUGGUAGUCCACGCUGUAAACGGUGGGUACUAGGUGUGGGGUCCAUUCCACGGGUUCCGUGCCGUAGCUAACGCUUUAAGUACCCCGCCUGGGGAGUACGGCCGCAAGGCUAAAACUCAAAGGAAUUGACGGGGCCCCGCACAAGCGGCGGAGCAUGCGGAUUAAUUCGAUGCAACGCGUAGAACCUUACCUGGGUUUGACAUGGAUCGGGAGUGCUCAGAGAUGGGUGUGCCUCUUUUGGGGUCGGUUCACAGGUGGUGCAUGGCUGUCGUCAGCUCGUGUCGUGAGAUGUUGGGUUAAGUCCCGCAACGAGCGCAACCCUUGUUCACUGUUGCCAGCACGUUAUGGUGGGGACUCAGUGGAGACCGCCGGGGUCAUCUCGGAGGAAGGUGGGGAUGACGUCAAGUCAUCAUGCCCCUUAUGUCCAGGGCUUCACGCAUGCUACAAUGGCUGGUACAGAGAGUGGCGAGCCUGUGAGGGUGAGCGAAUCUCGGAAAGCCGGUCUCAGUUCGGAUUGGGGUCUGCAACUCGACCUCAUGAAGUCGGAGUCGCUAGUAAUCGCAGAUCAGCAACGCUGCGGUGAAUACGUUCCCGGG